UUUUUUUUUGGAUGGACAAGCAAUAGUUCUCGAGCGUUAACUACGUAAAACUGCAAGUGGAGGAAGUGGUCAAGUUGUAGGAGUUAGGCUGUUUCUUCAUUGAGACUGGAUCAAGCAAUCCUACUUAUUUUCUUUCACCAGGUGACUCUGAUGUUUGAAUCAUGCUCCAAUAAAGAGAGACUAUUUUUCUGAUGCUUUUUCGAGGAACAAAGAAAAUUUCGCUUGACAAGGAUGCGAUUGGAAAUCACGAAGCAAAUGGCAAAUACAGAGAUGCUGAAAAUUGUACAUAUUUAGCAUUUGCAUCAACUUCAGCUUUUUCUUUGAAAGUUUGAAUCCCAGGGCCCUGAAUGAAUGUAAGAGCUACGAGCCUUGGUGAAUGGCCCAAUGGUCUCCAAGGCGCAAUUGUAAACUAAAAAAGUUACAUGCAAGCUGACGUGGUCCAUGAAAUUUCUUGCAGGUAUGGG
RNAcentral lists this unclassified non-coding RNA (464 nucleotides) under Hevea brasiliensis (rubber tree). Lineage: Eukaryota; Viridiplantae; Streptophyta; Magnoliopsida; Malpighiales; Euphorbiaceae. The record is from RNAcentral.